UUAAAUUUGACCCCCAUAUACAAAGCACAAAUUUAAUUUGUUUUAUAUUUCUGUAAGCGAAUAUUUGCAUAAUACAACAGCAAAAGAAGGGAUUGUUUUACAGCAACAUGAGAUAUGUAGGAAGAAGAAAAGAGACUGGUAUGAAGAAACAAAAAUGAGCAAUAACCUUCAAUCGUCUUAGGGGAUUCUACUUGAAAUGGUCAUUCACAAUCUUUAGCUGAUAUUUUCCCACCAAUCUGACCAGAGAAUGUAAAUAAAAGAAUGCUUUGUUAGUGCUUAGAAUUGGAUCGGGAUGCACAAUGGUGAGAUGAGUUCAAUCAUUCAAAAGUUUGUGGCAGCUAUUUUGGUUUGGGGUUAAUUUGUAUAGAACAGUGGCAUGCCAUGGAGCUGGGCCUCCUUUGGAAAAUCUAAUGAGUCAUGUAUCAGCAACAGGUAACAACUUGAACAAAAUUUUUGAUAUUAAUUAUACAAGCAAGGGCUACAACUUGAACAAAAUUUUCGAUAUUAAUGAUACAAGCAAGGGCUACAACUUGAACAAACUUUUUGAUAUUAAUGAUACGAGCAAGGGUUAGAAACCAGAAAUCCUUCCUUUCCAUUUCAGUUUGCUACAUAGGAAUAAGAUUGAUGAAUGCCUUCAAUGUUCUGUGGUAACUCAGGUCUGCAUGGCUCUGAGUCUGCUUACAAUUGAAGAAUUAUGAUUUUCUUGUCUGAGUAAUUUGUUUCCCAUGGUACAAGUGGAUGAUAUCAGUUUAUACUCAAAACAUCUUAAUUUUUGUGGUAAUUUGGAUCUUCAAAGCUUUCUUUGGUGAUUUCGUUGCAGUCGGUUAUUCAAUUUUCAUACUCAAGAUUGUCCCAAGUCUAGGGUUUGAGGUAUAUGUUGGCCAAAAAUCUACGGAGUAGCCACUGAGACAUUGUCAUUACAACUUAAGAAUCAUGAGCUAA
RNAcentral lists this long non-coding RNA (942 nucleotides) under Phoenix dactylifera (date palm). RNAcentral's name for it is "long non-coding RNA (PDAC_LNC016884)". Lineage: Eukaryota; Viridiplantae; Streptophyta; Magnoliopsida; Arecales; Arecaceae. The record is from RNAcentral.